Molecule: ribosomal RNA, 1542 nt
Filed under: uncultured Atribacterota bacterium
Lineage: Bacteria; Pseudomonadati; Atribacterota
Description: uncultured Candidatus Atribacteria bacterium partial 16S ribosomal RNA
Rfam family: Bacterial small subunit ribosomal RNA
Source: RNAcentral
AGAGUUUGAUUCUGGCUCAGGACGAACGCUGGCGGCGUGCCUAACACAUGCAAGUCAUACGGAUACAGAAGUUAGAAUACAUAGGUUAUCUGACUUCCGACUAUCUAACUUCUGUUAUCAGUGGCUGCACGGGUGAGUAACGCGAUGGGAAUCUACCCCGAAGGGGGGGAUAACCCCUCCAAAGGGGGGCUAAUACCGCGUAAUUCCUACCGGGUAAAGAUGGCCUCUUCUAGGCUAUCGCUUCCGGAUGAUCCCGCGUCCUAUUAGCUAGUUGGUGAUGUAAUGGCUUACCAAGGCCACGAUGGGUAGCCGGUCUGAUAAGAUGAACGGCCACCCUGGGACUGAGACACCGCCCAGACUCCUACCGGAGGCAGCAAUGGGGAAUUUUGCGCAUUGGGGGAGACCCUGACGCGCCAUCGCCGCGUGGAUGAUGAACGCCUUCGGGUUGUAGAGUCCUGUUCUGGGGGAAGAAACGGUACGAAGCCUAUACCUUCCUGCCCUGACGGUACCCCGCCAGAAAGCUCCGGCCAAUUAUGUGCCAGAACCCGCGGUAAUACAUCAGGAGCAAGCGUUGUCCCGAAUUAUUGGGCGUACAGAACUCGUAGACCGUUCGGACAGUCAGCUGUGAAAUCUCCAGGCUCAACCUGUUAAGGUCAGUUGAGACUUCCGAACUUGAGGGUAGAACAGGAGAGUGGAAUUCCCUGUGUAGCGAUGAAAUGCGUAGAUAUCGGGAGGAUCACCAGUGACGAACGCGGCUUUCUGGUCUACGCCUGACGUUGAGGAUCGAAUGCCACUGGAGCACACGGGAUUAGAUACCCCGGUACUCCUGUCGCUGAACGAUGGAUACUAUGUGUAGAAGGUAUCGACCCUUUGUGUGCCGCAGUUAACACAUUAAGUAUCCCGCUUGGGGAGUACGGUAGCAAGGCUGAAAGUCAAAGGAAUUGACGAGGGCCCGCACAAGCGGUGGAGCAUGUGGUCUAAUUCGACGCAACGAGAAAAACCUUACCGCGGCUUGACAUCUUUCUGUCCGCAUGGGAAACCAGGUAUUCUUCGUUGGGGAAGACAGAAAGACAGCGUGGUGCAUGGUUGUCGUCAGCUGGUGUCGUGAGAUGAUGGGUUAAGUCCCACAACGAGCGCAACCCUUGUCAUUAUUUGCCAGCAUGUUUACAGGUGCACUUUAAGGAGACUGCCGUAGAUAAUACGGAGGAAGGUGGGGAUGACGUCAAAUCGUCAUGCCCGUCACGUCCCGGGCUACACACGUGGUACAAUGGUGUGUACAAAGGGUGACCAAGGAGCGAUCAGGAGUCAAUCCCAAAAAGCAGGUCCCAGUUCUGAUUGGAGGAUUCAACUCGCCUCCACGAAGUAGGAAUAGUUAGUAAUCGUGGAUCAGCAUGAUGCGGUGAAUCCGUUCCUGGGCGUCGUACACACCGCCCGUCACACCACGAAAGUUGGCGAUACAUGAAGUUACCAUACCAACCCUUUGGGGAGGAAGGUACCGAGGGUAUGGUCAGCGAUUGGGGUGAAGUCGUAACAAGGUAACCG